UACGAAGGGGGCUAGCGUUGCUCGGAAUCACUGGGCGUAAAGCGCACGUAGGCGGCUUCUUAAGUCAGGGGUGAAAUCCUGGAGCUCAACUCCAGAACUGCCUUUGAUACUGGGAAGCUUGAGUCCGGGAGAGGUGAGUGGAACUCCGAGUGUAGAGGUGAAAUUCGUAGAUAUUCGGAAGAACACCAGUGGCGAAGGCGGCUCACUGGCCCGGUACUGACGCUGAGGUGCGAAAGCGUGGGGAGCAAACAGG
Molecule: ribosomal RNA, 253 nt
Filed under: uncultured bacterium
Lineage: Bacteria
Description: partial 16S ribosomal RNA
Rfam family: Bacterial small subunit ribosomal RNA
Source: RNAcentral